RNAcentral lists this ribosomal RNA (443 nucleotides) under uncultured bacterium. RNAcentral's name for it is "partial 16S ribosomal RNA". It matches the Rfam family "Bacterial small subunit ribosomal RNA", at positions 28 to 507 of the family's 1533-position model. The record is from RNAcentral.
GACGAACGCUGGCGGCGUGCUUAAUGCAUGCAAGUCUCACGUGUUUCCUUUGGUAGGUCGGUGGCGACCGGCCGAUGAACACGUGGGGACCUAUUCUUUAGUGCGGGUCCAUACAGCGAAAGCUGCGCUAAUCUCGCAUAUCCUCUGCGGAGGAAAGCGUGGCAUGACGCGCUGCAGACUGGCCCUGCGGCCCUUUAGGUGGCUGGCGGGGUAACUGCCCACCAAGCCCGUGACGGGUCGCUGGUCUGGGAGGAAGACCAGCCAGACUGGGACUGAGAUACGGCCGAGACUCCUACGGGAGGAAGCAGCAAGGAAUUUUCGGCAAUGGGCGCAAGCCUGACCGAGCAACGCCGCGGGCGGGAUGACGGCCUUCGGGUUGUAAACCGCUUUUGGGGGGGAAGAAACAGACGGUACCCCCAGAAUCAGCCCCGGCUAACUCUGUG